CAAAUUGAAACCAUUUCAUCUUUUUCUCUCUACUCAGGAGAAGAGUGUACCCCCACCUGGCUACACCCUUCUGUCAGGGAGUUGUAGAGACCAAUAAAGUCCCCUCUAAACCUCCCUUUCUCCAGGUUAAACAACUCCAGCUUCCUCAGCUGCUCCUCAAAAGACUUGUGCUCCAGCCUCUUCACCAGCUGUCACUCUUCCCUGGGCACACCUCAACACACAAAACAAUUCUCAGCUUAAACAGAGCAUUGGACUGGCUCAGAAACUCACCCUUAUUCCACUAUAUUGGUAGUAAAAGCAGCAUUUCUCAUUUCUUUCUGAACUGGCUUUCAUUCUUGUAACAGUUCUGCACAACUUCCAAGUCCAUUAUUUUUAUUAAAUGAAAAGCUUGUAAUAAUAUAUGGCAUUAAAAGAUUGGGGGAAAAACAAUAAAACAAUUAUAUGGAUCGGAGUCUGUCAUGGCCU
Molecule: non-coding RNA, 465 nt
Organism: Lonchura striata (white-rumped munia)
Lineage: Eukaryota; Metazoa; Chordata; Aves; Passeriformes; Estrildidae
Source: RefSeq, a predicted model, not a curated record